ACGUUAGCGGCGGACGGGUGAGUAACACGUGGGUAACCUACCUAUAAGACUGGGAUAGCUUCGGGAAACCGGAGCUAAUACCGGAUAAUAUUUCGAACCGCAUGGUUCGAUAGUGAAAGAUGGUUUUGCUAUCACUUAUAGAUGGACCCGCGCCGUAUUAGCUAGUUGGUAAGGUAACGGCUUACCAAGGCGACGAUACGUAGCCGACCUGAGAGGGUGAUCGGCCACACUGGAACUGGGACACGGUCCAGACUCCUACGGGAGGCAGCAGCA
This 273-nucleotide ribosomal RNA is filed under the name uncultured Staphylococcus sp. Its description in RNAcentral is "partial 16S ribosomal RNA". It matches the Rfam family "Bacterial small subunit ribosomal RNA", at positions 89 to 355 of the family's 1533-position model. Lineage: Bacteria; Bacillati; Bacillota; Bacilli; Caryophanales; Staphylococcaceae. The record is from RNAcentral.